AGAGUUUGAUCCUGGCUCAGGACGAACGCUGGCGGCGUGCCUAAUACAUGCAAGUAGAACGCUGAAGAGAGGAGCUUGCUCUUCUUGGAUGAGUUGCGAACGGGUGAGUAACGCGUAGGUAACCUGCCUUGUAGCGGGGGAUAACUAUUGGAAACGAUAGCUAAUACCGCAUAACAAUGGAUGACCCAUGUCAUUUAUUUGAAAGGGGCAAAUGCUCCACUACAAGAUGGACCUGCGUUGUAUUAGCUAGUAGGUGAGGUAACGGCUCACCUAGGCGACGAUACAUAGCCGACCUGAGAGGGUGAUCGGCCACACUGGGACUGAGACACGGCCCAGACUCCUACGGGAGGCAGCAGUAGGGAAUCUUCGGCAAUGGGGGCAACCCUGACCGAGCAACGCCGCGUGAGUGAAGAAGGUUUUCGGAUCGUAAAGCUCUGUUGUAAGUCAAGAACGAGUGUGAGAGUGGAAGGUUCACACUGUGACGGUAGCUUACCAGAAAGGGACGGCUAACUACGUGCCAGCAGCCGCGGUAAUACGUAGGUCCCGAGCGUUGUCCGGAUUUAUUGGGCGUAAAGCGAGCGCAGGCGGUUUGAUAAGUCUGAAGUUAAAGGCUGUGGCUCAACCAUAGUCCGCUUUGGAAACUGUCAAACUUGAGUGCAGAAGGGGAGAGUGGAAUUCCAUGUGUAGCGGUGAAAUGCGUAGAUAUAUGGAGGAACACCGGUGGCGAAAGCGGCUCUCUGGUCUGUAACUGACGCUGAGGCUCGAAAGCGUGGGGAGCGAACAGGAUUAGAUACCCUGGUAGUCCACGCCGUAAACGAUGAGUGCUAGGUGUUGGAUCCUUUCCGGGAUUCAGUGCCGCAGCUAACGCAUUAAGCACUCCGCCUGGGGAGUACGACCGCAAGGUUGAAACUCAAAGGAAUUGACGGGGGCCCGCACAAGCGGUGGAGCAUGUGGUUUAAUUCGAAGCAACGCGAAGAACCUUACCAGGUCCUGACAUCCCGAUGCUAUUUCUAGAGAUAGAAAGUUACUUCGGUACAUCGGUGACAGGUGGUGCAUGGUUGUCGUCAGCUCGUGUCGUGAGAUGUUGGGUUAAGUCCCGCAACGAGCGCAACCCCUAUUGUUAGUUGCCAUCAUUCAGUUGGGCACUCUAGCGAGACUGCCGGUAAUAAACCGGAGGAAGGUGGGGAUGACGUCAAAUCAUCAUGCCCCUUAUGACCUGGGCUACACACGUGCUACAAUGGUUGGUACAACGAGUUGCGAGUCGGUGACGGCAAGCUAAUCUCUUAAAGCCAAUCUCAGUUCGGAUUGUAGGCUGCAACUCGCCUACAUGAAGUCGGAAUCGCUAGUAAUCGCGGAUCAGCACGCCGCGGUGAAUACGUUCUCGGGCCUUGUACACACCGCCCGUCACACCACGAGAGUUUGUAACACCCGAAGUCGGUGAGGUAACCUUUUGGAGCCAGCCGCCUAAGGUGGGAUAGAUGAUUGGGGUGAAGUCGUAACAAGGUA
RNAcentral lists this ribosomal RNA (1506 nucleotides) under metagenome. Its description in RNAcentral is "bacterial SSU rRNA". It matches the Rfam family "Bacterial small subunit ribosomal RNA". The record is from RNAcentral.